AAGUUCAGAAUCUGGGAGUAGAGAGGUGCUGAAGCCCACCGUCAUGAGUGCUUGUGACCUGGGCGCACACACCAUCAUACACACACCUCCUACAUAGACCCCUCUUCUACCGACACAGGGAGCCAAAUUGAUUAGUGUCUAUCACUGCAGGAAAUAGUGGCUUGGAAAUGGACAUGCUCCAGGACCUUGAGUCCCUGCAGUUUGAGUAUGGGGUUCCAGAGGAAGAUCGUAUCUGGCUGUAUUUGCAGGGCCGUUCUCGGGGACUGAUGAUCAAGGCUUGUGCCCAUGCAACCUUCUUCUGCAAACUAUUAUAUAAUUUGAGAGCAUCAUUAAAUGAGAAUCAAAGUUCCAGACAUCUCUCAAUUGGCUCCCUUAAUUCAGCCACUCCUGAAGAGUUUAAGGUGGGCAUCAUUGGAGGUGGCCACCUUGGGAAGCAGCUGGCUGGCACACUGCUGCAGCUCGGCCCCAUCCCUGCUGAAAGCCUGCGGAUCUCCACUCGGAGGCCAGAGACUUUGGGUGAGCUCCAGAAGCUGGGAAUCAAAUGCUUUUACCAUAACGCUGACCUGGUGAGCUGGGCCAACGUGAUAUUCCUCUGCUGCUUGCCAUCUCAGCUGCCUAAUAUCUGUGUAGAAAUACACACCAGCCUUGAGAAGACCAGCAUUGUGUACAGCUUUAUAGCUGCCAUCCCACUACCCAGGCUGAAACUACUGUUGAACCACACCAAUAUUUUGCGGCCUCAGUAUCAGUAUGGUGAAGAUUCUGUCAGCGUCUGGGGGGCCAAUAAGGGAGUCGUAGCUGCUCUCCAAGAUCCUACGAUUCUUCAAGCUACCUGUCCCUACAGUCCUGCUGGUCAUGGCUCAACAUAUUUCUGGCAUUCUUUUGAAAAUUACUUUCCUGUUGGCCCAUUGCUAUCUUAUUAAAUCAAUCUCUGUGUGUGUGUGUGUGUGUGUGUGUGUGUGUGUAAGGCACAAGGUAUUGCAGGAGAGCUACUUAGGAAGAGCUGAGAAGCUUGAUUAUUUGGACUUCUUAAGGACAAACUAAAACCAAAAGAGGAGAUAGCUUAUUUCAAUAGGAGGAUGUAAUGUUGGACUAAAAUGGCUUUUCCCUGUUCUAAACUUGCAGUUUUCCCUAGUUCCUUCUCCAUAUUAGCAACGACUAUUCCAGAGACACUUUUUGCCAUUAGCAAUGUCUACAGUAGUCGUAUCUGUCCACCUUUGGGAUGGUCAACACAUGAUGUGUUACAAAGGGCACAAGUAGCGCUUGUGACUCAGGAAGGAAUGUUUGCUUAUCUCGUGGUUCAUAUUACCCAUCUGUCUUGGAAAAAAGGUGGCUAUUCACUGUCAGGGGUUUAUUCUAGGUUCUCUGCAACUCAUUUUUGGUGGUGCUAACUGGUAUUUACCUUCUCAUUGAUGUGUAGGAGGAAUAAUCCUCAAUAUCAAGUGGUUGGAGGGAGUGUUCUAUGCGGCCCUAAACAUAUGCACAGCAAGAAACAUGGCCCACUCCCAAGUGCUGCAGCUUCUGAGUGAACUCUUUCUCUCCGUGCACUUUGAAGACUGUGGGAAAGACACAGCAUCUUGCCCAAAGUUUCAAUUAACAGAUUUUGUCAGCAAAGCCUAUGGCAAGAACUUGUCUCAGGAAAGGCCUUUCCCCUGGUUUGAUCUGACUGAUGUGCAACUCAAGGAAACUCCGUUUAGCCAGCAUCUCUCAAGCAGUCCUGUUCUCCAAGACCACCUUACCCAUCUAUACUGUGCUUCAUUUGGCAUCUCCCUAACCAAAGAACAGCCAGUCAUUUCCACAGGCUCUCCAUCCCAAUAAGAGAACUCAGGAAUCAGGAUUUUUUCCCACUCACAGAUUUUCCCUAUAACAGUUGUGCCCUGAUUAUCACAAUUGACUGUGGGAGUCUUGUGACUGUAUUGUGUUUGCCACAUGAUAGACAUCAGGAAUUAUAAAACUGUAUUGAUGACUCUUUAAAAUGUAGAAUAAAACAAGUGGUCCUAUCCAUC
This 2003-nucleotide small RNA is filed under the name Pongo abelii (Sumatran orangutan). RNAcentral's name for it is "retained intron". Lineage: Eukaryota; Metazoa; Chordata; Mammalia; Primates; Hominidae. The record is from RNAcentral.